Molecule: ribosomal RNA, 429 nt
Filed under: uncultured bacterium
Lineage: Bacteria
Description: bacterial SSU rRNA
Rfam family: Bacterial small subunit ribosomal RNA
Source: RNAcentral
UGGGGAAUUUUGCGCAAUGGGGGAAACCCUGACGCAGCAACGCCGCGUGAGUGAUGAAGGCCUUCGGGUCGUAAAGCUCUGUCAGAGGGGAAGAAAUGCAGGGGUGCUAAUAUCAUCUUUGCUUGACGGUACCCUCAAAGGAAGCACCGGCUAACUCCGUGCCAGCAGCCGCGGUAAUACGGAGGGUGCGAGCGUUGUUCGGAAUUAUUGGGCGUAAAGCGCGUGUAGGCGGUUUGGUAAGUCUGAUGUGAAAGCCCCGGGCUCAACCGGGGAAGUGCAUUGGAAACUGGCAGACUUGACUACGGGAGAGGGUAGUGGAAUUCCUAGUGUAGGAGUGAAAUCCGUAGAUAUUAGGAGGAACACCGGUGGCGAAGGCGGCUACCUGGACCGAUAUUGACGCUGAGACGCGAAAGCGUGGGGAGCAAACAG